This 354-nucleotide long non-coding RNA is filed under the name Panax ginseng (ginseng). RNAcentral describes it as "long non-coding RNA (PGIN_LNC018441)". Lineage: Eukaryota; Viridiplantae; Streptophyta; Magnoliopsida; Apiales; Araliaceae. The record is from RNAcentral.
UCAGCCGUUGUGGAAAGAGUUGUGAAUGUUGAUAUGGCUGCUUGUUUGUUUGUGAAAUACCAUCUCUGAACCAAACAACGUAGGCAUUCAAUCAUUGACGCAACUGGAAGAUCCCUAAUAAACUUGAUUGCAUUAUUAAUAGAUUCAGCUGUGUUUGAAGUCAUUGUUGAGUACCUACUUACAGUCCAAUGGAGCCUGGUACAUUUAUCCAAUCUGACCUCUUCCUCCAGAUAUGUCCUUAUUCGAGGAUCAAUGGCAUCAAGUUCAGCCAUGUGUUUGUUGAAUUGUUCAACAGUGUAAGCUCUACAAGCCCCGUUGUAAGCCUGUUUAACUUCUUCUUCUCCUUUCUUUUUG